Molecule: ribosomal RNA, 205 nt
Filed under: uncultured bacterium
Lineage: Bacteria
Description: partial 16S ribosomal RNA
Rfam family: Bacterial small subunit ribosomal RNA
Source: RNAcentral
AGCGCAGGUGGUUUCUUAAGUCUGAUGUAAAAGGCAGUGGCUCAACCAUUGUGUGCAUUGGAAACUGGGAGACUUGAGUGCAGGAGAGGAGAGUGGAAUUCCAUGUGUAGCGGUGAAAUGCGUAGAUAUAUGGAGGAACACCGGAGGCGAAAGCGGCUCUCUGGCCUGUAACUGACACUGAGGCUCGAAAGCGUGGGAGCAAACA